RNAcentral lists this ribosomal RNA (521 nucleotides) under Giardia duodenalis. RNAcentral's name for it is "SSU rRNA". It matches the Rfam family "Eukaryotic small subunit ribosomal RNA", at positions 985 to 1595 of the family's 1831-position model. The record is from RNAcentral. Lineage: Eukaryota; Fornicata; Diplomonadida; Hexamitidae.
GAAGGCCGGGGGCUAGAAGGCAUUCAGACACCACCGUAUUCCCGGCCGUAAACCAUGCCGCCCCGCGGCCGGCGCGCGCGUCCCGCCGGCCGCCCAGGGAAACCGGGAGGCUCCGGGCUCUGGGGGGAGUAUGGCCGCAAGGCUGAAACUUGAAGGCAUUGACGGAGGGGUACCACCAGACGUGGAGUCUGCGGCUCAAUCUGACUCAACGCGUGCACCUCACCAGGCCCAGACGCGCGGAGGACCGACAGCCGGGCGCGCUUUCGCGAUCGCGCGGGCGGUGGUGCAUGGCCGCUCCCAGCCCGUGGCGCGAGCCGUCUGCUCCAUUGCGACAACGAGCGAGACCCCGGCCGCGAGCGUCGCGGGACAGCCCGUGCGAGCGGGAGGACGGCGGGGCGAUAGCAGGUCUGUGAUGCCCUCAGACGCCCUGGGCCGCACGCGCGCUACACUGGCGGGGCCAACCGGCGUCCGCGAGGAUUUGUGGAGCCCCCGCCGUGGCCGGGACCGCGGGCUGGAACGCC